UCCCGUCUCCUGCGCAGGCGCAGUGGGCGGUCAGCGCCUCUCCUCAGGGCGAUGAGGGGACGUCGAGAUGGCGGUAGUGAAGCUUCAACCCCCUCCACAUCUAAUACCAGCCCAGGCUGCUCAGGGCCACAUCCAACCUGGCCAUGAACACCCUCAAGGAUGGACGGAGCAUCCACAGCCUCAUUGAGCAGCUGUUCCAGCACCUCAUCGCUCUCACACGCUGCUGCCUGCCCUGUGCCCCCACUGCAUUGGAGCCAUCCGCAUCUGAAUGGAAUUACAAGAGCAAAACACCUCCUGGGACUCAGCUUCAGCACAGCUGCCAUUUAAAGAGCUGUGGUUUGGCCCAGCUUCAGGGGGAGGUCAGCAAAGGGUCUCGUGAUGCAAGAAUACUAAAAGAACCACAAAGAAACCACAGAGACCCAAGGAAAGGGAGCAGCCCGAGCUCCCCAGCUGUGAGGUCUCACCAGCACUGAGGCAGCAAAGUCAUUCCAAGGACAAACCUCUCCUCAGUGAUGAAUGGUGCAAAAUAUGGCGCAGAUUGGAGCCGCUGGCUGUCGGAAAGGUGAAGUGCAGGAGGACAGCACCACCUCAGGUCUGGUCUUACAACAGGAGAGAUUUGUGCAGAAUUGGCUGCUCCAAGGGGAGCUCUUGAUGGCACAUUGAAGAGCCAGAGCAUGAAGCUUACACAACCAUCGCUUGUCUGAGCUCACUGCGUUGUGACAGCGGGUGAGCCGGACCCUCCUUCAUACGGCAUCUCCAAAUGUGACGUGGUUCAUGGAGUGAUUAGAAAUGUCAGACUGGAAGGAAUCUCUCAGAUCACCAAAAACAUCUCCUUCGUAUGACUGACUGCUUUUCACACAGAAUUGUAGGGGUUGGAAGGGACCUCCAGAGAUCAUCGAGUCCAACCCCCCUGCCAAAGCAAGUUCCCUACACCAGGUUGCACAGGGAUUUGUCCUUUCCUGGUCACCUCCAAGUCCUUCAGCACAGCUGUUGCAGUUUGAAGCAGUCAUUCUUGGACACAGGGGAGCAGAGUCACACGCAGUAAGUGCUUCAUUGCCUUGGGCAAUGCACUGAGUCUAUCUCUGCUGCCAAUACACAAACUGGACUUUCAGACUCGUUUUUCCUUCCCCGUGGCUAAAUCACACUGACAGCUUAUAAUUACAGGAUAUGAUUAAUUAGUAUGUCAAGUUCCUGCCCAUCCCAUUAGUUCCAGUUACUGUGCACCCACUCCUGGAGCAGCAGGUUGUGUUGUUGCCCCCACUGUAAAAGGCUUUUUCCUUAUAUCUAACCCUGUAAUAUUUCAGUGAGAAGCAGUCCUAGGCUUUCUAUGUGUUCCCAGGCACCCAUUGACUGCACUGAGUUGUUAAGUGAUUCCAGUUAUAAGAGACGUGGCUCACCUUUGUUCAUCGGGGUCCCUUAAAAAAAUCAAGAGGUAAUCACUGAAAAAUCAACAUUAGCAGCACUAACGGCCAUAAAAUCAUAACGCCUUUUAUUUAACAUAAAAUGAAACAUGAAGAUAAAAUACACAGUUGCCCAUGUGCUGAAGAACUAUGGUAUUUUACAUUCAUUUAUAAAGCAGGUAGUUUUACAUGACAAAAAGAAGUGAGAGGAAAAGGAACGGAAUCUGCAGUAAGACAGAAGCCACGGGGCAGGCUUUUGCUUGUCCAAAGUGCUACCUCCUAUGGGCACAGAUCUUCGAGUGACAGGUUAGAAACUGGCCGUUCUUAGCACUCCUUUGAUCCCUCUUAAUGCUUCUGAGAAGCUAAGGUGGAAGUUUACAGAGCAAAAUGAAUGACAACAUGUUGAGGAAACACCCUUGGCCAAGAGGCACAGCUGCAGCACGAUGGACCAUGUCUGUCCCUGCUGUCUUGCUCCUCUGCAGGAAUGGGCCCACACUGUUUUAAAUGCCUACAGCUUAUAUUACUUCAUCCCCUCCCGCCCCCCUUCUUCUUUUCUUUCUCUAUUGCCAGCUUUCUAAGUGAAAUUUGACUUUUCAAGCAGACAGCAGGAGGGUGAGGGCUCACAGAUGCACAGAUUUAGGGCAAAGGAAGGGAGCUACCACCCGUCAGUGAGGGUGGCUGCUGGCAGGCACAUCCCUUGCACACCUCCAGACACACAGUAAAGGAUUGUACCCGGAACCUCCGUCCCUGCUGCUUGAGACAAUGGAACAACACCUUCCACGUCGCAGCCACAGGUGGGCCAAGAGCACAGCCCUGCCCUGAGCAAUGCACACUGCAGUAUCUGAUAACUGAACGGUACAGGAGACAGACCAGGUAAGGUUUAAAUCAGGGUAGGAAGGAAUGGGAGAUGCAGCAGUACCAGGGGAACAAGGAAUGUUGGUUUUUCUUUUGUCAAAGUGCAGCAGAUUGAAACACGUUUCUAGUAUAUAUUUUGUCUACCCCAUAAAUCUUAAAUAUGAAAACAAACAUGAAACAGCCCUAAUUCCAUCUCACAUCUGUGGUGCUACCCAAGGUGUAAUGUCAGCACAAGGCUGAGGUGAAGCUGGUCUUGCUACGUACACGUGGCCAACAUGGCUGUGCACACCUAUACAGCUGCACACACAUCUGCACUGUCCCUGUACGCACACCCACCAGUGGGGCUUCCUGAUAGUGCAACUGUUCAGAGUGGAAGCCCCACCAAUGCUCAGACAGGGUUCCAUCCUCUUGUUUUCAAGAGAUCCCAAUGACAACCAAUGUGGUAUAAAAACACCAGUUGCCCGCCUUUUCAGGUUUCAGAUUUGUACUUUAAAACCUGACCUGUCAAUCAUUCUUCCUUCCCCACGUUCUUUCCUUCCCUGCUUUAAAUCACCUCCAACUUAUAUACAGGAGUUGCAGGAACAUGUGGGUAUAAAUGUCACUGGAGAUUCAUCUAACCCAAAUGGGCAUUGCAGAGGUGGGACAAGACAGGGAUGCUCUGGAGCUGUUUCUACCCUUAUCUCUAUGGCUAAUUUGUGUGCAGAACUGGGGCCAGCAGAUCUCAGCCUGCAGUGCCCUUGUCCCUGCCAUAGGGAAUGCCCCAUAGAAUCAUAGUAUGGCCUGGGUUGAAAAGGCCCACAACGAUCAUUUUGUUUCAGCCCCCUGGUGUGUGCAGUGCUACCAGCCACCACACCAGGCUGCCCAGAGCCACAUCCAACCUGGGUGGAUGUGCCCAUAGGGCAGUACUGUGGCCUCCCCCAUCGAGGGACAUCUCAAGGAUCCCACUCCAGUGCAUCCAAGUGGAUUCACUCCGCUCCCAAUAGCUGCAGGGAUGUAUUGUCCCUUACAGCAACACUUUCACCCCAGUUCCCACAAGCAGCUAGACCAUUCUGCUUUGACAGUGCUCCCUUGAAAUCACUGGACCUAUGGUAUGUUGUCUGAAUUCCCCCUUGGCACCCUGUGGUGCUCACACAAGCAAUGGAGCUACUGAUUGCCAUUCCAUGGCACAGCAAAACUGAGUUGCUUCGGAUUCUCUUUUGGUUGAGCAGCUUCUGUACCAACAUGUCUCUUUGGCUAUGAAGGUAGCAUUGUUUAUGGAAAGGAUCCACCUCAACUUGUUUCCUUGUUCUGCUGGGUGGCCGUGAGGCAAAAGGAAUGGAUACCGAUGGAAAGCAACAGGACACAGGACUGAAAAGGUUCUGUACGCUCCAUCUGAAGCUGCAAAACUCUCCCAGAUUCCUUCAGUGCUGAACUCCUGCUUUCCCUGCAGCCUCCCUCUUCGUGUCCUCCCUCCCUCUUCUCUUUUCUUCCCCUUUUAACAUUAUUACAUGCUCAAAUCCAACCAGCUCAAAUACUUUUUAAUACACUGAAAAUGUAAAAUAAAGAAUAUAUGAAGUACA
Non-coding RNA from Coturnix japonica (Japanese quail), 3814 nucleotides. The record is from RefSeq and is a predicted model, not a curated record. NCBI's taxonomy places the organism in Eukaryota, Metazoa, Chordata, Aves, Galliformes, Phasianidae.